Molecule: ribosomal RNA, 531 nt
Filed under: Ascomycota sp. Di251-1
Lineage: Eukaryota; Fungi; Ascomycota
Description: eukaryotic LSU rRNA
Rfam family: 5.8S ribosomal RNA (bases 161-314)
Source: RNAcentral
UGCUCCUAGGCAGUCCUUUAUGGUAUAGCCCAUCCGUGUCUAUAUACUCUUGUUGCUUUGGCAGGCCGUGCCUAACCGCCUGUGGGCUUCUGCCUGCAUGUGCCUGCCAGAGGACCAAACUCUGAAUUUUAGUGAUGUCUGAGUACUAUAUAAUAGUUAAAACUUUCAACAACGGAUCUCUUGGUUCUGGCAUCGAUGAAGAACGCAGCGAAAUGCGAUAAGUAAUGUGAAUUGCAGAAUUCAGUGAAUCAUCGAAUCUUUGAACGCACAUUGCGCCCGGUGGUAUUCCGCCGGGCAUGCCUGUUCGAGCGUCUCUAUCAACCAUCACGCCCCGGCGUGGAACUGGGGAUUGCAGUUUGCUGCAGCCCUAAAUCUCAUAUGCGAUCCCAGUUGGUUCUAUGCGUAGUACAUACCCCGCUACAGAACUUUAAUUGGAGCCGUCGGCAGUAAAUGGUGCAAGCCCAUUCUAAGGUUGACCUCGAAUCAAGUAGGGAUACCCGCUGAACUUAAGCAUAUCAAUAAGCGGAGGAA